GUUACAAAAAAUGUCUGGCCUC
Molecule: non-coding RNA, 22 nt
Filed under: Rattus norvegicus (Norway rat)
Lineage: Eukaryota; Metazoa; Chordata; Mammalia; Rodentia; Muridae
Source: RNAcentral